This 253-nucleotide ribosomal RNA is filed under the name uncultured bacterium. RNAcentral's name for it is "partial 16S ribosomal RNA". It matches the Rfam family "Bacterial small subunit ribosomal RNA", at positions 524 to 776 of the family's 1533-position model. The record is from RNAcentral.
UACGGGGGGGGCAAGCGUUGUUCGGAAUUACUGGGCGUAAAGGGCUCGUAGGCGGCCAACUAAGUCGGAUGUGAAAUCCCCAGGCUUAACCUGGGAACUGCAUCCGAUACUGGAUGGCUUGAAUUCGGGAGAGGGAUGCAGAAUUCCAGGUGUAGCGGUGAAAUGCGUAGAUAUCAGGAGGAACACCGGUGGCGAAGGCGGGUCUCUGGGCAGUAACUGACGCUGAGGAGCGAAAGCGUGGGGAGCGAACAGG